RNAcentral lists this ribosomal RNA (480 nucleotides) under uncultured bacterium. Its description in RNAcentral is "partial 16S ribosomal RNA". It matches the Rfam family "Bacterial small subunit ribosomal RNA", at positions 29 to 507 of the family's 1533-position model. The record is from RNAcentral.
AUGAACGCUGGCGGCGUGCUUAACCCCUGCAAGUCGAACGAAGCACUUUAUUUGAUUCCCUUCGGGACUGAUUAUUUUGUGACUGAGUGGCGGACGGGUGAGUAACGCGUGGGUAACCUGCCUUGUACAGGGGGAUAACAGUUGGAAACGGCUGCUAAUACCGCAUAAGCGCACAGCAUCGCAUGAUGCAGUGUGAAAAACUCCGGUGGUAUAAGAUGGACCCGCGUUGGAUUAGCUAGUUGGUGAGGUAACGGCCCACCAAGGCGACGAUCCAUAGCCGACCUGAGAGGGUGACCGGCCACAUUGGGACUGAGACACGGCCCAAACUCCUACGGGAGGCAGCAGUGGGGAAUAUUGCACAAUGGGCGAAAGCCUGAUGCAGCGACGCCGCGUGAGCGAAGAAGUAUUUCGGUAUGUAAAGCUCUAUCAGCAGGGAAGAUAAUGACGGUACCUGACUAAGAAGCACCGGCUAAAUACGUG